UUUAAGCUUCCUACGGGAGGCUGCAGUGGGGAAUCUUGCGCAAUGGGCGAAAGCCUGACGCAGCCAUGCCGCGUGAAUGAUGAAGGUCUUAGGAUUGUAAAAUUCUUUCACCGGGGACGAUAAUGACGGUACCCGGAGAAGAAGCCCCGGCUAACUUCGUGCCAGCAGCCGCGGUAAUACGAAGGGGGCUAGCGUUGCUCGGAAUUACUGGGCGUAAAGGGAGCGUAGGCGGACAUUUAAGUCAGGGGUGAAAUCCCGGGGCUCAACCUCGGAAUUGCCUUUGAUACUGGGUGUCUUGAGUAUGAGAGAGGUGUGUGGAACUCCGAGUGUAGAGGUGAAAUUCGUAGAUAUUCGGAAGAACACCAGUGGCGAAGGCGACACACUGGCUCAUUACUGACGCUGAGGCUCGAGGUGCAUGGGGAGCAAACAGGAUUAGAUACCCUUGUAGUCGAAUUCUU
RNAcentral lists this ribosomal RNA (458 nucleotides) under uncultured bacterium. Its description in RNAcentral is "bacterial SSU rRNA". It matches the Rfam family "Bacterial small subunit ribosomal RNA", at positions 329 to 803 of the family's 1533-position model. The record is from RNAcentral.